RNAcentral lists this ribosomal RNA (493 nucleotides) under Bombus flavescens. Its description in RNAcentral is "partial 16S ribosomal RNA". The stretch from base 372 to 493 matches the Rfam family "Bacterial large subunit ribosomal RNA", at positions 2473 to 2595 of the family's 2925-position model. Lineage: Eukaryota; Metazoa; Arthropoda; Insecta; Hymenoptera; Apidae. The record is from RNAcentral.
GGCUUGAUGAUAUUAAUAUUAAGUCAAUCUGCCCAAUGAUGAAUAUUAAAUGGCUGCAGUAUAAUUGACUGUACAAAGGUAGCAUAAUCGAUUGUUUUUUAAUUGAAAACUGGAAUGAAAGAAUUAAUGAGAUAUAUACUGUCUCAUAUAUAUUUAAUAAAUUUAAAUUUUUAGUAAAAAUGCUGAAAUAAGUUUAUGGGACGAUAAGACCCUAUAGAAUUUUAUAUUAAUAUGUAGAUAAAUGAUUUUUAUAUAUUAAUAUUUAGUUGGGAGGAUUGGUAAAUUUAUUGAACUUUAUUUUUAAUUAAAACUUUGAUUUAAGAAUAAAUAAUGAUCUUGUAUUAUAAAUAAUAAGAAUAAAUUACCUUAGGGAUAACAGCGUAAUAUCUUUUGAAAGAUCGAAUUGAUAAAGGUGAUUGCGACCUCGAUGUUGAAUUAAGAUAAAUUUUAAACGUAGAAGUUUAAUGAUUAAGUCUGUUCGACUUUUAAAAUC